Long non-coding RNA from Anser brachyrhynchus (Pink-footed goose), 1248 nucleotides. The record is from Ensembl. NCBI's taxonomy places the organism in Eukaryota, Metazoa, Chordata, Aves, Anseriformes, Anatidae.
AUGGGCGGAGGCAGAGCGCUGGUGGCACAACAGAUACCAGUGCCCAAGGGAGCUCUCGCGCACAGCCCACAGAUACCUAUAAGCGGUACCAUUGGCACCGCAACAAUGCGGGGAACAGGCCGGCCCCUCAGCCAUCCAGCGACAGGGGGCCUGGGCCUUCCCAGUGGUGCAAAGGCAGCGUGGGGAGAAGGCAGGAGUGUCAGGCAGACAGCCGUGUGGAGCACAGGCAUGCCUAUAGUCCACAACAGAGUGCGGGACCUAGCCAUGGCCGUAACACAGACGGCAGCGUCAGACCCAUGCGUGGAAAUCAAACACACAGUGGCAUGGGACCUAGGCAUGAAAGUGGACAACACUCUGGUUCAGCACCCCGGCCUCAAAACUUCCCGGAUAGAAGGCAUCCCAUGCGGCCAGUCGCAAGCAAGGAUGGGCUUGGUCAUCAGCCACUCUGAGCCGUGCACAGGCCUUCCCGGCAUCCAUACAGCGACUGCAGGCCUCGGCCCUACCAUUGGCGGAACAGCGGCGUGGGGCGAAGGCAGCAGGAUCAGGCAGACAGCCGCCGGGAGCACAGGCGUGCCUAUCAUCCGUACCACAACGCGGGACCCAGCCAGGGCCAUAAACCAGAUGGCAACAUCGGACCCACACACGGAAAUCAACCUGACAGUGGACGUAGGCAUGGAACUGGACGACCCCGUGGUUCGGCACCCUGGCCUGGAAACCUUACUGACGGAAGGCAUCCCAUUUGGGCAGUCCCGGGCAAGGACUGGCUUAGCCUUCUGCCCAACACCGAGGAGCCCAUGGAGGUGGAUCCUCCACAAGACAUGGAGGAACCGGUGGAAGUGGAUCCACCUCAGCCAGAACAGACCUGGGACUACCGCGGUGCGUCUUUGCUCUCUGCUAUCCGAGCACAAAAACAGCGUUGCAGGAGUGCCCGGCCAGCCCCCUACUCGUCGUCACGCAGGCUCCAUCCCAAGCACUAGCUUGGAGCCCCCAAACACCAUAGACAUCCUGCAGGCUUACCUGCAAGACGUCCUGGCAAUAAACCACUCUGUUGCUGAUUCUCAGGGCUUGCGUGAGUGCUUCUUUCCCAUCCCCCAGCCCUUGUGCCAGAGGUGGCAUCCCUUCUGCACAGAGCCUCGAGGAAGAGCACAAGAGAGGACCCAGCUUCCUUCAGGCUGCUGCGCUGGGGUGACAGGAGGAGUCCGCGAGGGCCACCAUGCACCUCUGACAUUUGUGCAAAUAGUAGACUGA